CAGUUUGGUCAAACUCAUGCUGGUAGCUUCGAGAACACUGUCCAACCAUCUUGUCCUCUGUUGCCCCCUUCUCCUUGUGCCCUCCAUCUUUCCCAACAUCAGGGUCUUUUCCAGGGAGUCUUCUCUUCUCAUGAGGUGGCCAAAGUCUUGGAGCCUCAGCUUCAGGAUCUGUCCUUCCAGUGAGCACUCAGGGCUGAUUUCCUUCAGAAUGGAGAGGUUUGAUCUUCUUGCAGUCCAUGGGACUCUCAAGAGUCUCCUCCAACACCAUAAUUCAAAAGCACCAAUUCUUCGGUGAUCAGCCUUCUUUAUGGUCAGCCCUGUUUAGGGAAGCUUUUAAUGUUUGAUGCAUUACUGUAUUUUAAUAUUUUGUUGGAAAGAAGGAAAAGAAAGAGUUUGGAUUUGAUACCCCGCUUUAUCACUACCUGAAGGAGUCUCAAAGCGGCUCACAUUCUCCUUUCCCUUCCUCACUCACAACAAACACUCUGUGAGGUGAGUGAGGCUGAGAGACUUCAGAGAAGUGUGACUGGCCCAAGGUCACCCAGCAACUGCAUGUGGAGGAGCGGAGACGCGAACCCAGUUCCCCAGAUUAGGAGUCCACCGCUCUUAACCACUACACCACACUGGUGUGGCUGGGGAAGCCCAGCCAGAUGGGCGGGGUAAUAAUAAUAAUAAUAAUCCUGGCAGAAGCUGCCACCUGCAUGGGGGCGCCUGGUUGCGCCCCUGGAAUUUUGCGCCGGGGCCAUGGCCUCCCUGGUCCCCACACCAUGCCACUGUCUCUGUGAUUUCUAAUUGUCUCUCCCUCCUGCCAUGCCUUUCUAAGUGCCUGAAGUCUUUAACAUUUCUGCUUGUGAAAAAACUCUCGAAGAAUUUCCUUGGCUUUUAUUUGAAUCCAGUCCAGGGUACAAGUACUUUUCAAGCAUUAGCAUAAUGUUAUCGGCCUUGUGCAUCAUGGACCUCUCACUCUCUCUCUCUUUCUUCUGGAAGUCUUUGAGGCUGCGGAUUCCUAAUUUAUCAGAUCUCGGAUCAGAGCGGUUGUCGGCCCAGGCAGCCGGGCUGAAGCUGUGAGAAUGUAAUUCUCCUCUUGUCAUCACUAUCGCGGGGGAAGAGAAGAGGUCGACCUGAGCUGCGAAACACCUUCCUCUCUCCUGAGGCCCUGAUGCUGAUAAACUGAAUGGUUUUCAUGACGCUCCAAACACUCUGAGUUUAAUGGAUCAGAAAUUAAAGCGACUCAGGAUGAGAAGCACGGCAGGGUCUCAGGGACUGUUGAACAAAGAUAAAAAAUUGGCUUUGUAAUUUCCGCCCCUGAUAAGUCUCUGAGCGUCUUGCCGGUGGAGGGGUUGGUGUUCCCUGGAGGGGUUUGCUUUGUGGGUUUGUUUUUGAGCAUCAAAUCCUCGCACACGGGGCAUCAGUUUGGAAGCUGCCCUUGAUGUCUGGGCGAGGAGAAUGGGAACCAAUCUAGCAGUGGAAAACUCCAAGGCCUGAAACUUUUGAAAAAGGCACACACUAUUUACCGUGAUAGACUGGAGAUGAACUUUCAAUGCUAAAGCUUUCUUCUUGACCCUGAAGCUGCCUGGCUACAGACCUGCAGGGCUUCCUUCUGUGACAUCAGAGCAGCUGAACCAAUGGCAGCCAGUGUUCCCAUGACGCUGCAAGCAAAUUUGCUUUGGGAAGAGAUGUAUUACUCAGACUGAACAGCCAGGCCACAGUCAGCAGUUGGGCGGGGUAUAAAUAUAUUAUUAUUAUUAUUAUUAUUAUUAUUAUACCACCUGCAGCCCUCUUGGCUUCCUUAAUUGUCUUCUCAUCACUGAGCUGAUGGCUGCAAUACCCUGUUGGGCCAUCUGCAGUGGGGGCGCUGCAGUCUAGCAGAGAGGAAGCGAGUCACACUUUCCCUCAGGCUGCUGUGCUGGUUGCUCAAGGCAAUUGGUAUCUUAUCCUACAAGGAAAUAGUAGUUUCCCAGCACAAUCGCUCCCUGUUCAACCCUCUGCCUCUAGUUGCUAUCUUGGCUGUGAGACCUGGAAGAACUGCUCUGUGCCUUGCUUACUUUUUUCCACCUAGCCUGAGAGGGCAGAGCUCAGACUGACUCCAGAACAGACUUUUGUGUUGGGAUCGUUGGGCGGGGGGAAUUGCUGCUGUUGUUGUUUACUUCUUUAUUUAAGAUCUUGUGGUUUAUGUGGCAAUCGUUUGGUUUCAUUUUGCAUUUUUAUUAUUUUUAUUGCAUUUUUAUUAUUUUUAUUGUUUAUUAAAUUUAUAUACUGUCAUUCAUAUGAGGAUUUCAGUUUUAUUUAUUUUCUGACUUUUGUUAUGUUGUGGUUAUGCAUUUUUUUUUCAUGCUCAAACUGCCCUGAGCAUGGUUUGAACUAUGGAAAGACAGCAUACAAUUAAAAUUAUGUAUGUAUGUAUUAUGCAUUGUUAUGAGUUUAUGGGUGCCAUACAUCCCUGUGUCAUCAGUUUUAGGCUCCCUGCAUUUCUGAGUGCCAGACACUGAACCCCUGGAUCUAGCAAAAGUAUAAACCAGACCAAUUUCCUGAUGAGGAAAUCACCUGGGGAUGAGCCAUUAGGAGAGCAAAAGGAAGGUGAUGAGCCAUUAAAAGGUAAAGGGACCCCUGACCAUUAGGUCCAGUCGUGACCGACUCUGGGGUUGCGCCGCUCAUCUCGCUUUAUUGGCUGAGGGAGCCAGCGUACAGCUUCCAGGUCAUGUGGCCAGCAUGACUAAGCCGCUUCUGGCGAAACCAGAGCAGUGCAUGGAAACAGAACUGCGCCCCUCCUUAAACUCAGGGUUAGUUAGAAGACAAAGGGAGAAUCUGAGGUAGAGUUUUAGAGAUGGCCAUGAUGGAAAAAGGUUGCAGGCUGUUGAAGGCAGCAAGCUGGAGAGAGGCUCAUAGUACAAUGUCUGGUAUCUGCUUGCAUCCAAGUCUGCACCUACGGGUGAAACAAGACCCUCUUGAACACCUCCAUCAUAGCCUCAGGUUGUAUAUACGUAUAAAUAAACCAUAUACAGUGGUGCCUCGCAAGACGAAAUUAAUUCGUUCUGCGAGUUUUUUCAUCUUGCGAGUUUUUUUGUCUUGCAAAGCAUGGUUUCAAUUUUUUCAAAAAAAUCUCCAAAAACCUUAAAAAGGGUUCCACACCGCGUGCUAUGAGUUGCUCCCUGAAGUCAAGUUGCAACUGCACCUCUUCAAGCAAUGCACCCUGUAUUACUGUAACGGUUUUAAGAAAAAGGAAACAAACUUGCAAGACGUUUCCGUCUUGCGAAGCAAGCCCAUAGGGAAAUUCGUCUCGCGAAGCAACUCAAAAAACCAAAAACUCUUUCAUCUUGUGAGUUUUUCGUCUUGAGAGGCAUUCGUCUUGCGAGGUACCACUGUAUCAUAAAGACACCACAGUCUUCUCUGUACCUGACUUCCAAAAGGCAGCAUAAACCCUGGGUAAGCCACGUUGGACUCCUGGAAUCUCUCAUGCUCAAAGAUUGGGGUGGCGUGCAGCAGUACGUAGGUCUGUAGUUGUGCCAGGUUCUGAGGAGUCCCUUUUUCUCAAACUCUUGCGAAAUUUGCCACGGCUACUUCCAUCAUUACAAAGGGACAUAUAAUAGAGGCAAUCAUGUUAAGCAUCUAGUCUUACGAAACAUUCCACCUGGACCUCUCAUCUCACAGAGAGAAAAGAAAAGAGAGUAAAUCUCUUUCAGGUAUAUUAAAAAAACUCACCAUUUCCCCCCCUUGCUGGAAGCACUAAAGCAAACAAGCAAACAAAAACCAUGUAGUAUUUGAUAGCCAAACUAUUCAAAGGCUUUAAUCUUGAGUCUUUUAUGCAGCUCUCAUGACUAUAGGAGGGAAAAAAUAAAGUCUCUCCCUCUUUUCCAGUUCCCUCUCCUCUGCCAAACGCAAAAUGUCUUCCAUGUGCACAGCAUUAGGAUUUCUAUAUGUAAUGAUUUUUGAUUUUUUAUUAUUGGGAACGGAUCCAGACUGCUUGUGGUGGGAGUCAGGAGGGAUGAGUGCAAUUAUUAGCAUGUUUUGAAAUCCUGCAUCCUCUGGGUUCUAUCCUGUUCUGAAGGAGGUUGAAUGGCUUUUUGAUUGGUAGAUAUAAUUGCCACUACAGUGGAACCUCGGUUUUCGAACGUAACCCGUUCCAGAAGACCGUUUGACUUCUGAAAGGAUCGAAAACCAAGGCACAAAGGACGGCCUGCAAUUUCAAUGGAGAAAAGGGGGGGGGGACUCAGCAGAAGCUGUUUGACUUCUGAGGCGCGUUCAGAAACAGAAGCAAUUGCUUCCGGGUUUUUGGUACUCGAAAACGGAAAUGUUCAGCUUCCGAGACGCUUGAAAACCGAGGUACCACUGUAAUUGGACACUUGAAAGAAGAAGACACUCCGAUGCCUGUCGUGGCUUUCUGGCUGAGGUUACCCCGGCAGUCUAUUAUCAAUCAUGAGAUGGUCCAAAUUCCUUUUCUGUACCCACCACAAUAUCCUCUGUGAGCCUCCUCAAGAGUAGGCCUUGGGUCGACGUAGGAUAGAAAGUUUGAGGAUCCCUGGCCCAUGGGGAGCCCAAAGAGUGGCUCAAGAGCUUUUCCCAUUUGCUCCAUCCCUAUGUGUACACCUAAGCUGUACAUCUGACCCUCCUGGUGCCAUAAUCUGCCCCACUGCCAACCUCCACCCCCCGAUCUGCAGAGCACAGCCUUGUGUUUCUUAGUUGUGGAUCCUGAGAUUCAGGGGGUUGAGCUUAGUCCCCACUGCUGGCUCACCCCACUGGGACGCUCCCCACCAAAAUAGUACCCCCCGGGACAUGCGCUGCUGCCUCUAGCUCCGCCUCUGCCUGUCCCUAUGGGCGCCCCCCAUCCCUAGCCCCUAUGGGAAGUUUGCCCCGCCCCUAUGGGUGGUUCACCCUGCCCCUGGGAGCACCACCCCAGAUGCCUGAGAGCCUUCCUCCACCACUGUCCACAACUUAUGAAAAGUCUAGGUCACAGGGGUCAGCAAACAUUUUCAGCAGGGGGCCGGUCCACUGUCCCUCAGACCUUGUGGGGGGUCGGACUAUAUUUUUUUUUGGGGGGGGGGAGAAUGAAUUCCUUGCCCCACAAAUAACCCAGAGAAGCAUUUUAAAUGAAAGGACACAUUCUACUCAUGUAAAAACACGCUGAUUCCCGGAGCGUCCGUGGGCCAGAUUUAGAAGGUGAUUGGGCAGGAUCCGGCCCCUGGGCCUUUGUUUGCCUACCCAUGGUCUAAGACCAUGUAAGCAUUCCACUGCAGCCUCCCAGCUUCUCCUUUACUCCAUGUGUUGAGCUGAUUUCUCGAAGAAAAGGGGAGGGGGAAUUGCUGGGGAUUUUGCACAAGCUGAGCAGCAGAACUCACAACAUUUUGAAAGAUGCCGUUGAUAAAGUCCAAAGGAACCUGCAGAGUGUGGGGGAAUGUUGCCUCGUGUGUGACAGAGGAAGAUAUUUGUUGAAAAUGCCUGCCUCUAAUCUCUUUCUCUUCAUGUCCUUUUGUUCAGCUGUGGACUCUUCGUCCCGAUAAGGCAUUGCUGGAAGUUGAGCAUUUCUCUCCCUCCGUCUGUCUUCCAUUUUAAUUUUAAAUGAAGCACACGCAGGGGAAAGUGGAUCUUAGCCGGCUGCAGGAAGCUAUUACAGGCUGGAGAACUUUACUAGGUAGAAAAGGGAGACUUCUUGACUGGUGAAUUAAAUGCCCAAGUUUAAGUUGGGGAAGAUCCUGAGGGGCACGUUCUGCAGUACAUGGUCAGCCCAUGUGGCAUGCUGGUUGGAUAUGGUAAAAGGUAAAGGUAAAGGACCCCUGGAUGGUUAGGUCCAGUCAAAGGCGACUUUGGGGUUGUGGCGCUCAUCUCACUUUCAGGCUGAGGGAGCCGGUGUUUGUCCACAGACAGCUUUCCAGGUCAUGUGGCCAGCAGGACUAAAACGCUUCUGGCGCAAUGGGACACCGUGACAGAAACCAGAGUGCAUGGAAACACUGUUUACCUUCCUGCCACAGUGGUACCUAUUUAUCUACUUGCACUUUGAUGUGCUUUUGAACUGCUAGGUUGGCAGGAGCUGGGACAGAGCAACGGGAGCUCACCCCAUCGUGGGGAUUCGAACUGCCGACCUUCUGAUCACCAAGCCGAAGAGGCUCAGUGGUUAAGACCACAGCGCCAGCAGGCUCUUCUUAGAUUCUCACAUUCUUGUUAGGUAGUGAGGAGGUCAGUGCAGUGCAAACACACUGGCAGACCCAUUCUGCCACAGCGGUACCUAUUUAUCUAGUUGCACUGGCAUGCCUUCAAACUGCUAGGUUGGCUGGAGCUGGGACAGAGCAAAUGGGAGCUCACCCCAUUGUGGGGAUUCGAACCCCCGACCUUCUGAUUGGCAAACCCAAGAGGCUCAGUGGUUAAGACCACAGCGCCACCUGCAUUCCAUCCUCGCACACCAGAGCCUCCUUUCCCUGCCUGGGUAAGGCUUGACCUGGGAGUGGAGCUGCUUUGGUUGACAGCCUCCCUCUGCUGUGGCCGAGCUGAUCAUGGUGCAGCCCAGUUGAGGAGAGGGGCAGCAGCUCUCUGCAGCCAACACUCCACUCUGCCCCCAGGAUCAGACAUGACCCAGGAGCAGAACUGCAGCAGAGCUUGCAGCUGGGCACAAGGAAGCUGUCUUGGCAACUCCCUCACAUACCAGAGCCAGACUCUGAUGGGAGCCUGUUGUGGGUGUGCCUGGUUGUGCUUCCUCCAGAAAAUGUGUGACCCCCCCAAGCUACAGGACUGAGAAGAGCUCUGCUGGAACAGGCCUAGUGGGGCUCAUCUAGCUUAGCAUUCUGUUCUCACAUUGGCCAACCAGGUGCAUGUGGGAAACCCGCAAACAGGAUCCAAGCACAAGAGCAACUCUCCCCUCCUGCAGUUUCCAGAAACUGGUGUUCAGAAGCAUUGCUGCUUCCAACAGAGCGUAGCCAUCCUGGCUAGUGGCCAUCAAUAGCCCUCUCCUCCGUGAAUCUAUCUAAUCCUCUUUUAAAAGUACCUAGAUUUGUGGCCAUCCCUGCUUCCUGAGCCAGGGAGUUCCUAAGUUUAUGUGCUAUCUGAAGAAGUCCUUUCUUUUGCCUUUUCUGGAUCCUCCAGAUUCCAGCCUCAUGGGAUGUCCAUGGGGUCUAAUGUUGUGAGAGGAACACAAUCAUUCCUCGAAUCCUACUUGUGGGUUUCCCAUGAGGGCAUCGUGCUGGCCACCGUGGGAACAGGAUGUUGGGAUACUGCCAGGGAGACAAAGACCAUCAUGCUUCCACGUCGUCUCCGGACAAGCAUUGGUUUCCCAUGGAAGCAGCAUCAGUCAAUUAACGACACGAGCCUCAGACCCAUUCCAAGACUCAUGCAAGCCCUUUUCGCAGAGUUUCCACAACGGAAUAUUCACCCAGGAGAGCAUAAUUACAGCUUUAUUCAACGUUGGUCAGAAAAAAAGAAAAACAUGACUGCUUGCUUCCGUGUCGAGGAAAAACAGCCAGAACAAUAGCUAUAUACAAAACGGAAACUCCCUGUGAGCAGGAAGUACACAGGCAUGUGACACACAACAGCCUGUUCCCUUUUUAAGGAGGAACGGAAAUAUCCUAUCACAGGAUGCUGGAUUAGUUGGGCUGCUGGCCUGAUCCAGCAGGCUCUUCUUAUAUUCUCACAUUCUUGUUAAGGUAGUGAGGAGGUCAGCGCAGUGCAAACACACUGGCAGACCCAAUCUGCCGCUCCUGCUGGUGUGUUUGCAUCUUGCUGACCUCCCCACCACCUCCCCAUCCCCUGUCCCCCAGUAAGAAACAGCAACCCAUUCACAGGGAAGCUGCCAUAAUGGCCUCCUCUCCCAGUGAGCCACUUCCAGCUGAGUGGCGAGUCUCAAGAGUGCCCUUUCACCUUCUGGGUGUUCCUUUAUGAAUAUGCCCUGCUCAUUCUUCCUUCACGGCUUCUAGGGUCUGACCCAGCUGGGGCUGAUGCAAAUUGCCAUUAUUAUUUUCCCAUUUUUUCACCCAGGGUGGUCACAGGGUGUGUUACACUAAUGAAAACCCAAUAUCAAAAACAAUUUAAAAUAACUGUACAUAAUAGUAAUAGGGCAGUUCCUGAAAAUACACAUCCCAAGUGUCAAAAGCCAGGGUAAAGAUGUGUUUCUUCAGCAUUUGCCAGAAGCUAUACAAUGAAAGUGCCAGAUGGACCUCUGUGGGGAGGGAGUUACGCAUCUUAGGGGCCACCACAGAGAAGGUCCUCUCCUAAGCCAACCCUUCACCGGGCUUCUGAGGGUCUCCACUACUGAUCUCAGCAUCUGAGAAGGUCUGCAGGGAAGGAGGCAGUCUUUCAGGUAUUUUCAGCUCCACCUGGUACACAGGAUGAGACCCUACCUGCCCGCAGAUUGUCUCACCAGAGUGGUGCAUGCUCUAGUUAUCUCCCGCUUGGACUACUGCAAUAUGCUCUACGUGGGGCUGCCUUUGAAGGUGACCUGGAAACUGUAAUUAAUCCAGAAUGCGGCAGCUAGACUGGUGACUGGGAGUGGCCACCGAGACCACAUAACACCGGUCCUGAAAGACCUACAUUGGCUCUCAGUACUUUUCCAAGCACAAUUCAAAGUGUUGGUGCUGACCUUUAAAGCCCUAAAUGGCUCCGGUCCUGUAUACCUGAAGGAGCGUCUCCACCCCCAUCAUUCUGCCCGGACACUGAGAUCCAGCCCCGAGGGCCUUCUGGCGAUUCACUCAUUGCGAGAAGUGAAGUUACAGGGAACCAGACAGAGGGCCUUCUCGGUAGUGGCACCCACCCUGUGGAAUGCCGUUCCUUCAGAUGUGAAGCAAAUAAGCAGUGAUCUUCUUUUUAAAAGACAUCUGAAGGCAGCCCUGUUUAGGGAAGUUUUUAAUAUUUAAUGCUGUAUUGUUUUUAACACUCAAUUGGAAGCCGCCCAGAGUGGCUGGGAAAACUCAGCCAGAUGGGAGGGGGCAUAAAUAGAUUAUUAUUAUUAUUAUUAUUAUUAUUAUUAUUAUUAUUAUUAUGGGCCUGAGGCAUUUAGGGCUGUGAACACUCAUGUGAGCACCUUGAAUUGGACCCGGAAAUGCAACCAAUGCAGCCUUUUUUAAAAAGGGGUUAUGUGAGAUCUUAAUGGCCGCUGCAUUUUGAACCAACUCAAGUAUCCGAGUCGUCUUCAAGGGAAGGCCCACGUAAAGCACAUUGCGACAAUCCAGCUGCCGUCCCCAAACAGCUGGAGGGCACCAGGUUGGAGAACGCAAGCAGACCUUGCAUGGCGUGAGGAACUGGCAGGGAUCCAGCUACGAGCGUGGGGCUUGAAAAGGUUUUGUUGUUUAUUGGGAGAAGUUGACAAGCUUUCCUCUUAUUUAUCAGGAGGGGAGGGGAGGAGGGGGCCAGUAUCUUGAGGCCCAAGGAGAGACAGGUUGUCACUGAUCUGCAACAAAACAAGGAAGGGACAAUUAUAUUGUCUGAAGCCAAGCGAGAUGCAUUAGCAUUUUGGCAUUUAGAUGCGAACUGUUAUCUGUGCCUCAAUUGUUAAUUAAAAGCAGUUCUGGUCCUGAUUCCUUCUCUGCCUGGGCUCUUUGCUGGUUCCUCCACUGUUAUUUAUGGCCAUUCUUUUCUCCCGCCUGCCCCCCUCUCCGCUGCCCACAACUGGAGUGCCUCGGCCGUCCUUCUGUGGGGAAAGAGAGAGGAGGCCGAAGGAAUGGGGAAGAGAGGGACUUGCACGUAGCCCGCCUUGUCUCCCACGAGCACUUGUGGGACCCGAGGCUCCGUGUCAAGCAGAUAAGAGCCGGCAAAAGGGGAGAGGACAAAACGAAACAAAACACCCGAGCGGUUGUCGUUGCCGUCACAAUGAAGCGCUAUCCUGGGGGCGCAGGACGCUAAUCGCUGCCAAGUGUGGCACUCAGAUAACAAUGCCCACUUCAGCUCAGCAACGGGCAUGGAUCUAUUCAGACUCCAAAACAAAAACACAAAUGCACACAUAUACACAUUGAGUUUCAAGGCAGAGGAUGAUAUCCCAGAUUCCAAAUUAGGCAGGGAUACAGCCUCCCCCCUCCCAACAGAAGUGGCCUUCUGUCCUAAUUUCUAGAGGCCGACCCGCUAGGUCAGGGGUCAGAAAACUUUUUCAGCAGGGGGCCGGUCCACUGUCCCUCAGACCUUGUGGGGGGCUGGACUAUUUUUUUUGGGGGGGGGGAAAUGAACGAAUUCCUAUGCCCCACAAAUAACCCAGAGAUGCAUUUUAAAUAAAAGCACAUGUUCUACUCAUGUAAAAACACCAGGCAGGCCCCACAAAUAACCCAGAGAUGCAUUUUAAAUAAAAGGACACAUUCUACACAUGUAAAAACAUGCUGAUUCCCGGACCGUCCUCAGACCGGAUUUAGAAGGUGAUUGGGCCGGCCAGAUCCGGCCCCCAACAUUGAUGCCGAAAUCCAGUACCGCCUGAGCUCUGCGAGUGCGGCUUUCUCCCGAUUGAAGUGCAGAGUGUUUGAGGGCCAGGACAUUUGCAGAGAAAUCAAAAUGCUUGUUGACAAAGCUAUUGUACUGCCAACCUUACUGUAUGCUUGUGAAACAUGGACCACUUACAAAUGCCAUCUCCAACUCCUCGAAAGAUUCAAUCAAUGGUGUCUCCGAAAAUUUUAAACAUCACUUGGGAAGACAGGUGAACUAAUACCAGUGUACCGGAAGAAGCAAAGAUCACCAGUGUUGAAGCAAUGAUUCUUCAACAUUCUUCAACUUUGUUGGACUGGUCAUGUUGUGCAGUUGCCUGAUGAUCGUCUUCCAAAGCAACUACUCUAUUCCGAACUUAAAAAUGGAAAGCGUAAUGCUGGUGGUCAACAAAAGAGGUUUAAAGACUGUCUCAAGGCAAAUCUAAAAAAAUGUAGUAUAAACACCAACAACUGGGAAACACUGGCCUGCGAGCGCUCCAGUUGGAGAACAGUCUUUACCAAAGGUGUCAUGGGCUUUGAAGAUGCCUAAACUCAGGAUGAAAGGGAGAAACGUGCUAAGAGGAAGACAUGCUUGGCAAACCCUCACCGUGAUCAACUCCUGCCCGGAAAUCUCUGUCCCCACUGUGGAAGGACGUGUUGAUCCAGAAUUGGCCUCCACAGUCACUUACGGACUCAUUGUUAAAAUCAUGUUUAUGGAUGACAAUCUUACUCGGCUAUGAGUGAUCGCCAAAGAAGAAGAAGAAGAACAUGUGCUAGGUGCUAGGUGUUCCUAAUCUGUAGGGCUCAUUGUGAAGACUUGAUCAGGCAUUCUUCUUCUGCUUUCAAAUAUAUAUAAAAAUUUCACACCCGAGCCUCCAUAUACUCUCAGGGAAGAGGGGUCUGUCCUCCUCUGCGUCCUCCUCCCCUCUCCCAAUUAACCUCCAUCUCUAUGGCUCAGUAGUGGGAGGGAGUGCAGAGUUAGGAUCACCAGCGGCCUCCCCCCCCAUGUGGCAUUGCCAAGGUGCCACCCCUAGGUCUCAGGUUUGGGCCCUGAAAUCUCAGGAUUUGGGGUGCUCCUGUACAUCACUUGGCAGCCCUCAUGUCAAUCCUAUGCAGACUGCCAGACCUAGGCUGGGCACAGACUGAAUUGUGAACAUGGAGGAGAAAAGCCCUUUAGAGCUGCUGUAUUUGCCAUCUCUUGGAAUAAAAAUUGGGGUCAGCGCAGGCUCCAGCUUUGAAGUGCCCCCCAAAAGUAACCUCUAGUUGGAUCCUUCCAACCCCACGUGGUAAAAUGUAUUCCUUUUCAUUUCAUAGUUGUUGAAAUAAAAAAUUUAAGGUCACACACACACACACACACACACACACACACAUAAUGUUCAUAAAUGCACCAACCAAGCAUGUACAUCGCUAUAUAAACCACAUGUCUGAAACCCCACAGAAAGUCCUGAAACCAUUUUGUGCCUCCCAAAUUGACCUCAAACAAGGUCAAAAGAAAAUGGAAAAGCCUCCCCAUUGUCUUUUCCUUCACAAAUCCUGUCUUAAGGGUAUGUCUGUGUAUGAAUAGGGUGAGCCUGUGACCUGGCUCAGGAACUAAGUAUUUAUUAUUACAAAAGACUGGCCAGGCUCCCCAGGGUAUCCAAUCAAGUAAGCAUUAGCAGGUAACCUGCCAGAUAGGAGAUAAACAACACACUCAGAUUUCUGUUGUAGACCGCCCUUUCUGUGAUGUAGGUAUGAUGUGUCUGGGGGGUGGUCUUGAGCUACACCCCUUCUGUGAUGAAUGUAUGAUGUUUCUGGGGGUGGUCUUGGACUCCAAGGUGGGCAAUUUAAAAUGUCUAUAUAAGGGUGGACACACCUUGGUUCUGGGUCCUCCUCCUUCUCCUGCGUGUGGUGAGUGAGGACCCUGUUGCAACAGUUCAAUAAAGAUAAGGCUUACAAGCUGCUUUGCUUCUCAACAUUCUCUGGUUGGCCUCAGUUAUUUUCUCCAGCCGAUGGAGAACCUACAAAGGACUCUAUAAGGGCUCUUGUGUCCCAUAAGGGAAUAAGGGCAGAUUUUUGUUUAUUACAGAGUCAUUUCUAAAAUUAUAACUAUCCUUCUCAAUUAGCUUAUCUUUUUUUUAUGCAGAUCUGUGCCUUCCUUUGUCAUCAUCAUCAUCAUCAUCAUCAUUAUUUUGCAAGGCGUCAGUUGCUACCCUACUCCUGUUCCAUAGCUAGGGGUUUGUCCACCCUGUCUCCAAGGUCUUAAUAUUCCUCUAAUGAGGCAUCACCGAAAUGACAGAUCCUCUCCCCGCAUUUUUUUUAAAAUAGUCUUCAAGAAAAGGCAAAACAGCCUUCAGAUGUAAUUGCCAUGAGUUUUUAUGGCCCUAAAAGGAGCAGUAAGAUAGGAUUAGUCUUAGUUAAGGGUGACUCACCCUUCUAUCUGUUUCAGAUUGAAACAAAUGACAAUGUUUGCUUUUGAUUAUUAGAUUAGCCAUAUUGAAAUCCUUAUUAGGGGCUUAUGAUUGGGGUGGGUGGGUCGGUCGGGGAGAGGAAUGCUUCUGUGUGGUGCCUGCAGAACAGCAAGUACUCUAGGCAUGCCUUAUCACGACGUGGGGGUAUCCCUACUCCGCUGAAGCUGUGACAGAGUGUUACCAUUGUUGCUGUCGUUUAGUAGUGUCCGCCUCUUCGUGACCCCCUGGACCAGAGCACGCCAGGCCCUCCUGUCUUCCACUGCCUCCCGCAGUUUGGUCAAACUCCUGUUCGUAGCUUCGAGAACACUGUCCCGCCAUCUCGUCCUCUGUCGUCCCCUUCUCCUUGUGCCCUCCAUCUUUCCCAGCAUCAGGAUCUUUUCCAGGGAGUCUUCUCUUCUCAUGAGGUGGCCAGAGUCUUGGAGCCUCAGCUUCAGAAUCUGUCCUUCCAGUGAGCACUCAGGGCUGAUUUCCUUCAGAAUGGAUAGGUUUGAUCUUCUUGCAGUCCAUGGGACUCUCAAGAGUCUCCUCCAGCACCAGAAUUCAAAAGCAUCAAUUCUUCGGCGAUCAGCCUUCUUUAUGGUCCAGCUCUCGCUUCCAUACAUCACUACUGGGAAAACCAUAGCUUUAACUAUACGGACCUUUGUUGGCAAGGUGAUGUCUCUGCUUUUUAG
This is a non-coding RNA of Podarcis lilfordi (Lilford's wall lizard), 13473 nucleotides long. NCBI's taxonomy places the organism in Eukaryota, Metazoa, Chordata, Lepidosauria, Squamata, Lacertidae. The record is from the annotation of a GenBank genome assembly.